This 1357-nucleotide ribosomal RNA is filed under the name Staphylococcus pseudintermedius. RNAcentral's name for it is "bacterial SSU rRNA". It matches the Rfam family "Bacterial small subunit ribosomal RNA", at positions 193 to 1533 of the family's 1533-position model. Lineage: Bacteria; Bacillati; Bacillota; Bacilli; Caryophanales; Staphylococcaceae. The record is from RNAcentral.
UUCUACAGUGAAAGACGGUCUUGCUGUCACUUAUAGAUGGACCCGCGCCGUAUUAGCUAGUUGGUGGGGUAACGGCCUACCAAGGCGACGAUACGUAGCCGACCUGAGAGGGUGAUCGGCCACACUGGAACUGAGACACGGUCCAGACUCCUACGGGAGGCAGCAGUAGGGAAUCUUCCGCAAUGGGCGAAAGCCUGACGGAGCAACGCCGCGUGAGUGAUGAAGGUCUUCGGAUCGUAAAGCUCUGUUGUUAGGGAAGAACAAAUGUGUAAGUAACUGUGCACAUCUUGACGGUACCUAACCAGAAAGCCACGGCUAACUACGUGCCAGCAGCCGCGGUAAUACGUAGGUGGCAAGCGUUAUCCGGAAUUAUUGGGCGUAAAGCGCGCGUAGGCGGUUUUUUAAGUCUGAUGUGAAAGCCCACGGCUCAACCGUGGAGGGUCAUUGGAAACUGGAAAACUUGAGUGCAGAAGAGGAAAGUGGAAUUCCAUGUGUAGCGGUGAAAUGCGCAGAGAUAUGGAGGAACACCAGUGGCGAAGGCGGCUUUCUGGUCUGCAACUGACGCUGAUGUGCGAAAGCGUGGGGAUCAAACAGGAUUAGAUACCCUGGUAGUCCACGCCGUAAACGAUGAGUGCUAAGUGUUAGGGGGUUUCCGCCCCUUAGUGCUGCAGCUAACGCAUUAAGCACUCCGCCUGGGGAGUACGGUCGCAAGACUGAAACUCAAAGGAAUUGACGGGGACCCGCACAAGCGGUGGAGCAUGUGGUUUAAUUCGAAGCAACGCGAAGAACCUUACCAAAUCUUGACAUCCUUUGACCGCUCUAGAGAUAGAGUUUUCCUCUUCGGAGGACAAAGUGACAGGUGGUGCAUGGUUGUCGUCAGCUCGUGUCGUGAGAUGUUGGGUUAAGUCCCGCAACGAGCGCAACCCUUGAACUUAGUUGCCAUCAUUCAGUUGGGCACUCUAAGUUGACUGCCGGUGACAAACCGGAGGAAGGUGGGGAUGACGUCAAAUCAUCAUGCCCCUUAUGAUUUGGGCUACACACGUGCUACAAUGGACAAUACAAAGGGCAGCGAAACCGCGAGGUCAAGCAAAUCCCAUAAAGUUGUUCUCAGUUCGGAUUGUAGUCUGCAACUCGACUACAUGAAGCUGGAAUCGCUAGUAAUCGUAGAUCAGCAUGCUACGGUGAAUACGUUCCCGGGUCUUGUACACACCGCCCGUCACACCACGAGAGUUUGUAACACCCGAAGCCGGUGGAGUAACCAUUUUGGAGCUAGCCGUCGAAGGUGGGACAAAUGAUUGGGGUGAAGUCGUAACAAGGUAGCCGUAUCGGAAGGUGCGGCUGGAUCACCUCCUUUCUA